GAAACUUGGCAAGUGUGUUAUUGAAUGUAUGAACUCGAGGCUAAUGACCUAUUAAGGUGACAACAGGGGGAAGAUCUUUAGGUACAGUUAUCUUUGUCAUACUCCAUUGGAUUAGUCCAUUUGCUACUUUGCAAUCCCUCUACUAGACCUCAAGUAAUCCACAUCACUUCAAGUGACAAUCUAUUCAUAAAUUCUUCUACACCUCGACUGUGCUGGUGAAAAUCAAAGCACGGACAUGCUUCUCCAUUAAUUAUAAUUUUAUUCUUUGUCGCUUUACUGAUGUCUGUUGUUUCACAUUUGUAUUGUUCUACUUGGUUUUACUAUUGUAUUGUUGGUAACGUUUCACGUUUUACAUCUUGCUUGUGUUUUU
This 370-nucleotide unclassified non-coding RNA is filed under the name Hevea brasiliensis (rubber tree). The record is from RNAcentral. Lineage: Eukaryota; Viridiplantae; Streptophyta; Magnoliopsida; Malpighiales; Euphorbiaceae.